RNAcentral lists this ribosomal RNA (273 nucleotides) under Triticum aestivum (bread wheat). RNAcentral describes it as "partial small subunit ribosomal RNA". The record is from RNAcentral. Lineage: Eukaryota; Viridiplantae; Streptophyta; Magnoliopsida; Poales; Poaceae.
CAAGCCACUAUUAGUACUUGCUCAAUUUGCGCAGUGGAGGAUGAAAGUACGUUUCAUGCGCUUGUCCAGUGCCCGAAGGCUUAUGCUUUGCAUAUGGCUAUAAGGGACACUUGGGAUUUACCGGCGGAGGAGGUGUUCAGGUACACUGGGAGGGAUUGGUUUCUUAUUCUUCUAAAUCAUUUGAGUCCUAUGAUGCGUGACCGAAUUAUCUUCAUUUUCUGGAGAGCUUGGCAUUUGAGAAAUGAUUUGAUUUUUGGUAAGGGGAAGGAAUCC